GUGCCAGCCGCCGCGGUAAUACGGGGGGUGCAAGCGUUAUUCGGAAUCAUUGGGCGUAAAGAGCACGUAGGCGGCCUGGUAAGUCAGAUGUGAAAGCCCGGGGCUUAACCCCGGAAGUGCAUUUGAUACUGUCAGGCUUGAGUAUGGGAGAGGGAAGUGGAAUUCCUGGUGUAGAGGUGAAAUUCGUAGAUAUCAGGAGGAACACCGGUGGCGAAGGCGGCUUCCUGGACCAAUACUGACGCUGAGGUGCGAAGGCGUGGGUAGCAAACAGGAUUAGAUACCCUGGUAGUCC
Molecule: ribosomal RNA, 292 nt
Filed under: uncultured bacterium
Lineage: Bacteria
Description: partial 16S ribosomal RNA
Rfam family: Bacterial small subunit ribosomal RNA
Source: RNAcentral